CGUCGUCGUCUUUUCCAAGAGGUACCCAGAUUUCCGAUGGUGCCUGAGGCUGAGGGAGCUGUCGAAGAUCAUGAGGUGCCGAGAAGACCAAGAGGGCAUAAUAGUCUAUCCAAUAUUCUACGACGUUGAUCCUUCUAACGUCAGGAAACAGAGUGGUGGUUUUGGGGGCAUUUUGGAAGCAUGACAGGGAUGAAGAUUCAGAUGACAUCGAGCAGUGGAGAAAGGAUCUCAAGGCUUCUUCAGAUUUGGGUGGCCAGAAUCUUAAAACCUCGGCGGACGGACGUGAAGGAUUGUCUAUCGAGAAAAUUGUUGGGGAAAUCGGGGAACUACUGAAAACAACAGACUUAAAACAAGUCAAGUGCUCUAGUUCGAAUGGAUUUUUGCGUGCAAGAAUUUAGUUCUGAAUACUUAGAUGUUGGAGGUUCACCUAACGUUCAAAUAAUUGGAAUUUGGGGUAUGGGAGGUUAGGUAAAACAACGCAUGCAGGAGCUAUUUGUGGCGAAUAUCAUCGUUGUUAUAGUGGUCAAUGUUACCUUGAAAAGGUCAGGAGUAAAAAAGAAAAGUAUGGUUGCUCUGCAAGAACUUCUUCGAGAUGUUUUGAAACGGGUGGACAUUAAUGUGAGCAAUGUUGCCGAAGGAACCAAAGAGAUAGAGAAAAGACUUGGAAGAAUGAAGGUGCUUGUCGUCGUUGAUGACAUAGAUGAUGCGGACUAAUUACAUGAAUUGGCG
Long non-coding RNA from Pyrus x bretschneideri (Chinese white pear), 729 nucleotides. RefSeq lists it as uncharacterized. Lineage: Eukaryota; Viridiplantae; Streptophyta; Magnoliopsida; Rosales; Rosaceae. The transcript has 2 exons. The record is from RefSeq and is a predicted model, not a curated record.